GCUCGACCUCAAAUCAGGUAGGACUACCCGCUG
RNAcentral lists this ribosomal RNA (33 nucleotides) under Starmera stellimalicola. RNAcentral describes it as "[Candida] stellimalicola partial 28S ribosomal RNA". Lineage: Eukaryota; Fungi; Ascomycota; Saccharomycetes; Phaffomycetales; Phaffomycetaceae. The record is from RNAcentral.